GGUGUGGUGAGAAAGGACAUGUGCCGU
Molecule: non-coding RNA, 27 nt
Filed under: Rattus norvegicus (Norway rat)
Lineage: Eukaryota; Metazoa; Chordata; Mammalia; Rodentia; Muridae
Source: RNAcentral